This 170-nucleotide ribosomal RNA is filed under the name uncultured bacterium. RNAcentral describes it as "partial 16S ribosomal RNA". It matches the Rfam family "Bacterial small subunit ribosomal RNA", at positions 1323 to 1500 of the family's 1533-position model. The record is from RNAcentral.
AAGUUGGAUUCGCUAGUAAUCGCGCAUCAGCCAUGGCGCGGUGAAUACGUUCCCGGGCCUUGUACACACCGCCCGUCAAGCCAUGGGAGCCGGGGGUGCCUGAAGUUCGUGACCGCAAGGAGCGACCUAGGGCAAAACUGGUGACUGGGGCUAAGUCGUAACAAGGUACC